This is a long non-coding RNA of Xenopus laevis (African clawed frog), 227 nucleotides long. RefSeq lists it as uncharacterized. The record is from RefSeq and is a predicted model, not a curated record. NCBI's taxonomy places the organism in Eukaryota, Metazoa, Chordata, Amphibia, Anura, Pipidae. The transcript is spliced from 3 exons.
GGGAGAUAUGAACCUGAUGCCAGUGGGUUGGUUCGCCCAUCACCAAUUGGAGUUGUUGGAGGCAUCUUGAUGGUAGUGUUAUACCUUAUACUUUGGAUAUAAGAAAUACAUUAAAAGGAACCAAUCACGAGGCUCCUCUAAGCGUGUGGAACGCUCUGAGAAUGAGAGAAAUGGACACGUACCCACUGAGGACAUUGAAAUGGGAGGCUAAGGGGAAGAAGAUGGAG